RNAcentral lists this ribosomal RNA (499 nucleotides) under uncultured bacterium. RNAcentral describes it as "bacterial SSU rRNA". It matches the Rfam family "Bacterial small subunit ribosomal RNA", at positions 68 to 543 of the family's 1533-position model. The record is from RNAcentral.
GAGAAAGGGGACUGCGGUCCCUGAGUACAGUGGCGCACGGGUGCGUAACACGUAAGUAAUCUACCCCUGACUCUGGGAUAACGGCCCGAAAGGGCCGCUAAGACCGGAUAGGGUUCUUGAGACGCUGGUCGCAAGAGGAAAACCUGCUCCAUGUGCAGCGGGUGGUCGGGGAUGAGCUUGCGGCCCAUUAGCUUGUUGGUAGGGUAACGGCCUACCAAGGCGACGAUGGGUAGCUGGUCUGAGAGGAUGAUCAGCCACACUGGCACUGAGACACGGGCCAGACUCCUACGGGAGGCAGCAGUGGGGAAUUUUGCGCAAUGGGCGAAAGCCUGACGCAGUAACGCCGCGUGGAGGAUGAAGGCCUUCGGGUCGUAAACUCCUGUCAGGGGGAACGACGCCACCGAGGGGGAUAAGCCCUGGGCGGCAGACGGUACCCCCAAAGGAAGCCCCGGCUAAUUCCGUGCCAGCAGCCGCGGUAAUACGGAAGGGGCAAGCGUUG